This 497-nucleotide ribosomal RNA is filed under the name uncultured bacterium. Its description in RNAcentral is "partial 16S ribosomal RNA". It matches the Rfam family "Bacterial small subunit ribosomal RNA", at positions 28 to 507 of the family's 1533-position model. The record is from RNAcentral.
GAUGAACGCUGGCGGCGUGCCUAAUACAUGCAAGUCGAGCGAACGGACGAGAAGCUUGCUUCUCUGAUGUUAGCGGCGGACGGGUGAGUAACACGUGGAUAACCUACCUAUAAGACUGGGAUAACUUCGGGAAACCGGAGCUAAUACCGGAUGAUAUUUUGAACCGCAUGGUUCAAAAGUGAAAGACGGUCUUGCUGUCACUUAUAGAUGGAUCCGCGCUGCAUUAGCUAGUUGGUAAGGUAACGGCUUACCAAGGCAACGAUGCAUAGCCGACCUGAGAGGGUGAUCGGCCACACUGGAACUGAGACACGGUCCAGACUCCUACGGGAGGCAGCAGUAGGGAAUCUUCCGCAAUGGGCGAAGGCCUGACGGAGCAACGCCGCGUGAGUGAUGAAGGUCUUCGGAUCGUAAAACUCUGUUAUUAGGGAAGAACAUAUGUGUAAGUAACUGUGCACAUCCUGACGGUACCUAAUCAGAAAGCCACGGCUAACUACGUG